Molecule: ribosomal RNA, 4506 nt
Filed under: Triticum aestivum (bread wheat)
Lineage: Eukaryota; Viridiplantae; Streptophyta; Magnoliopsida; Poales; Poaceae
Description: partial small subunit ribosomal RNA
Source: RNAcentral
AUGAGCUCCCUCGCAAUCGCAAGUUCCUGGGUGACGCUGAUGAACUUGUGUGGUAGCCCGGCUUGUUGCGACCAGGGCGUCCUCAGAGAAGUAUUCAACGCCUCCACCUGCGUGAAUCACCUGGUGGAAACGGGCAUCGUCGCGCCUCUCGCGGUCGUGCUCUUGCUCCGGUUCCUCGUCCGGCUCCCCGAGAGCAGAGCGUCCGCCACGCGCCGCCAGCGGCUUCUCAGGCCCAGCUCACCGCUGCAUCUCGCCACCGUGGUGUUCAAUGGCUGCUUGGGGUUGUUCCAUCUCGUCCUAGGACUCUGGAUGCUGCUGGGGAGCAACUUCGACAACCAUCCGGAUGCCUCUAGGACUUGCCUGCCGCACUGGUGGCUUGUGACACUGUCCCAGGGAUUCAGCUUGCUCCUCGCCGGCUUCGCUUUCGCCGCCGGGAGCCGGUUUCUCGGGUCGGUGUUCGCUCAAUCAUGGUCGGUCUUGCUGACCAUCUAUGCGGUGUUCGUCUCCUGUUCCUCGGUUGUCGCCAUUGUUGCUCAGAAGCCGAUCACUGUUAAGGCCUGUUUGGAUCUCCUGUCGCUGCCAGGCGCAGUUAUGUUUCUUGUCUACAGCAUUCACAGCAGCCAUGCCCAUGAUGAUCAAGAGGGACAUGAAGGAUUAUACGAGCCACUGAAGACGGAUGACACAGCUGACAGUGAGGUAGCUGAUGACUCUUCAGAGGUCAGCCAGCAGAAGGUGACUCCCUUUGCCAGAGCUGGCAUUUUGAGCCAGAUGACAUUCUGGUGGCUGAACCCUCUGAUGAAGACGGGCUACGAGAAGCCCCUCGGCGACAAAGACAUGCCGCUGCUAGGCGCCACGGACCGGGCACAGAGCCAGUACUCGAUGUUCGUGGAGAAGCUGAACAAGAAGAAGCAGACGUCACAUGAUGGCACACCACCAUCAAUCCUGUGGGCUAUCGUUUCUCAUCACAAGUGCGGGAUCAUGGUGUCAGGUCUCUUCGCCCUGCUCAAGGUGCUCACCUUGUCCACAGGCCCGCUGCUCCUGAGGGCAUUCAUCAACCUGUCAACCGGGAAAGUGACCUCCGAUUCCAAGCAUGAAGGCUAUACGCUGGCCGCGCUCAUGUUCAUCUGCAAAUUGUGCGAGUCGCUGUCGCAGAGGCAGUGGUACUUCCGCACGCGGAGGCUGGGGCUCCAGGUGAGGUCGCUUCUCUCGGCGGCCAUCUACAGGAAGCAGCAGAAGCUAUCGAGCUCGGCGAAGAUGGCACACUCCUCCGGGCAGAUCAUGAACUACCUCACCGUCGACGCGUACCGGGUCGGGGAGUUCCCGUACUGGUUCCACCAGACAUGGACGACGGUCGUCCAGCUCUGCAUCGCUCUGGCGAUCCUUUACAGCGCGGUCGGCGCCGCCAUGGUCUCGUCCCUGGUCGUCGUCGUCAUCACCGUGCUCUGCAACGCUCCGUUGGCCAAGCUGCAGCACAGGUUUCAGAGCAAGCUGAUGGAGGCGACGGACGCGAGGUUGAAGGCCAUGUCAGAGUCACUGGUGCACAUGAAGGCGUUGAAGCUCUACGCGUGGGAAGGUCACUUCAGGAAGGCCAUUGAGGAGCUGAGGGAGGUCGAGUACAGGUGGCUGUCGGCGUUCCAGCUUAGCAGGGCGUACAACAGCGUCCUCUUCUGGUCGUCGCCUGUCUGGGUCUCGGCGGCGACAUUUCUGACAUGCUACUUUCUGGAGAUCCCUCUUGAUGCCAGCAACGUCUUCACCUUCAUCGCGACCCUGCGCCUGGUGCAGGACCCGAUUCGGGCCAUACCGGAGGUUCUCGGAGUCGUGGUGCAGGCUAAGGUUGCUUUCACUCGGAUAGAGAAGUUUCUAGGUGCACCUGAGCUGAAUGGACGAGCCAAGGAGAAAUGUUCCUCUGCAGGCAUCGGUUACCCGGUAGCUAUGAACUCGUGCUGGUUCUCGUGGUGCGAAGAUCCAUCAAAGCCUAACCUGAAGGAUGUAAAUUUGGUGGUCAAAGCUGGGGAGAAGGUUGCGAUUUGCGGGGAGGUAGGGUCGGGGAAGUCGACGCUUUUGGCUGCGAUACUCGGAGAGGUCCCGAAAACUGAAGGCACGAUUCAAGUCUGCGGAAAAAUAGCAUAUGUGUCACAGAACGCAUGGAUCCAAACCGGAACCGUGCAGGAGAACAUUCUCUUCGGGUCUCGUAUGGACAGCCAAAGGUACCAGGAAACACUCGCGAGGUGCUCGCUGGUGAAGGACCUUGAGAUGUUGCCGUACGGAGACGAUACUGAAAUCGGGGAGAGGGGAGUGAACCUGAGUGGCGGUCAGAAGCAGCGCCUUCAGCUUGCUCGUGCGUUGUACCAAGAUGCAGACAUAUAUCUCCUCGACGACCCUUUCAGCGCCGUCGAUGCCCAUACAGCAACCGGCCUCUUCAAUGAAUAUGUCAUGGGCGCUCUUUCAGACAAGACUGUUCUUCUGGUCACCCACCAAGUCGAUUUUCUACCCGUCUUCGACUCCAUUCUGCUGAUGUCAGAUGGGGAGGUUAUUCGGUCGGCACCUUAUCGAGAUCUAUUGGCGGACUGUCAAGAAUUCAAAGACCUUGUAAAUGCCCAUAAGGAUACCAUUGGGAUUUCAGAUGUUGAUAACAAUGCUGCUCCUCACAGAGCAAACGGAACAUCAACAAAGGAGAAGCAUCAUGCCUAUGGAAGUGGAUACACAAAGUCUGAGAAGCCAUCACCAGCACACCAACUGAUCAAGGAAGAGGAAAGAGAGACAGGAGACACUGGACUUAAGCCCUACAUGAUUUACCUGCGCCAGAACAGAGGCUUCAUGUAUGCCUCUCUGUGUGUCAUUUCUCACAUGAUCUUCAUAGCGGGGCAAAUAGCGCAGAACUCUUGGAUGGCGGCGAAUGUCCAAGAUCCGCGUGUCAGUACACUGAGGCUAAUCACUGUGUACAUUGUUAUCGGACUUUGCACGAUGUUGUUUUUGCUAUCAAGAUGUCUAUCGGUUGUUGUUCUCGGGGUCCAGACAUCGAGAUCCUUGUUUUCCCAGUUACUUGACUCGUUGUUCCGUGCACCGAUGUCCUUUUAUGAUUCUACUCCUCUAGGAAGGGUCCUUAUCCGGGUCUCUUCCGAUUUGAGUACUGUCGACCUUGAUGUCCCAUUCGCGUUCAUGUUUAGCCUUAGUGCCAGCCUGAAUGGAUACAGCAAUCUGGGGGUAUUGGCUGUUGUUACAUGGCAAGUUCUAUUUGUGUCCGUGCCAAUGAUAGUUUUGUCAGUUAGACUACAGAAGUAUUACUUAGCCUCUGCUAAGGAACUUAUGCGGAUCAAUGGCACUACCAAGUCCGCUCUAGCAAAUCACCUAGGCGAAUCGAUUUCAGGGGCUAUAACCAUAAGGGCCUUCGAGGAAGAAGAUCGUUUCUUUGAUAAAAAUUCUGAUCUUGUUGACAAGAAUGCUAUCCCAUACUUCUACAACUUUGCAGCAACAGAAUGGCUGAUUCAACGCCUUGAAAUAAUGAGUGCUGCAGUCCUUUCUUUUUCUGCAUUUCUCAUAGUUCUUCUUCCUCCAGGAACUUUUAGCCCUGGUUUUGUGGGAAUGGCUUUGUCGUAUGGUCUUUCCCUAAAUAUGUCUUUUGUUUCCUCUAUUAGAAAGCAAUGCACCUUUGCGAAUCAAAUAAUAUCCGUGGAACGGGUGAACCAGUACAUGGACAUAAAAAGUGAAGCAGCAGAAGUCAUCGAAGAAAACCGGCCGGCACCGGAUUGGCCUCAAAUUGGUAGUGUGGAGAUUAGAGAUUUGAAGAUUAGGUACAGAAAGGAUGCUCCCCUUGUACUGCAUGGAAUCAGUUGCAAGUUUGAAGGUGGAGAUAAAAUUGGUAUAGUUGGUCGAACAGGAAGUGGGAAAACAACGUUAAUUGGCGCAUUGUUUCGCCUUGUCGAACCAUCUGGAGGGAAAAUAAUUAUUGACUCUUUGGACAUCACUUCUAUCGGCUUACAUGACCUGCGUUCACAUUUGGGCAUCAUCCCACAAGAUCCAACACUUUUUCAGGGCACUGUAAGAUAUAAUCUAGAUCCUCUUGGGCAAUUCUCAGAUCAACAAAUAUGGGAGGUUCUUGAUAAAUGUCAACUUCUUGAAACUGUCCAGGAGAAAGAACAGGGAUUGGAUUCACUUGUCGCGGAAGAUGGGUCGAACUGGAGCAUGGGCCAAAGGCAGCUCUUCUGUUUGGGACGCGCACUUUUGAGAAGGUGUCGCAUCUUAGUUCUUGAUGAAGCCACGGCCUCUAUAGACAAUGGAACAGAUGUUGUCCUUCAGAAGACUAUUCGAACAGAAUUCAAACAUUGCACCGUUAUUACAGUGGCACACCGUAUACCGACAGUUAUGGACUGUGACAUGGUACUUGCAAUGAGCGAUGGGAAAAUAAUGGAGUAUGACAGACCUACAAACCUAAUGGAAACUGAAGGAUCUUUCUUCCGCGAGCUGGUCAAGGAGUAUUGGUCAUACACAUCAAACGGAAAUAUAUAG